Molecule: ribosomal RNA, 1481 nt
Filed under: metagenome
Description: bacterial SSU rRNA
Rfam family: Bacterial small subunit ribosomal RNA
Source: RNAcentral
AGAGUUUGAUCCUGGCUCAGGAUGAACGCUGGCGGCGUGCCUAAUACAUGCAAGUCGAACGAGAAGUCUCUGGUUUUAGGACUGGAGGCGGAGAGUGGCGAACGGGUGAGUAACACGUAGGCGACCUGCCCCGGAGAGCGGGACAACCGCGAGAAAUCGCGACUAAUACCGCAUAAGCUCACAGAGAUUAGAGGCUCAGUGAGAAAAGGAUAAACAAACUUUGUUUGUUUGUUCGCUUCGGGAGGGACCUGCGGCCCAUCAGCUAGUUGGUAGGGUAAUGGCCUACCAAGGCGAAGACGGGUAGGGGGCCUGAGAGGGUGGUCCCCCACACGGGCACUGAGACACGGGCCCGACUCCUACGGGAGGCAGCAGUAAGGGAUAUUGCGCAAUGGGCGAAAGCCUGACGCAGCAACGCCGCGUGCACGACGAAUGCCUUCGGGUUGUAAAGUGCUUUUCUGGCUGAAGAGGAAGGACGUAAGCCAGGAAUAAGAGUCGGCUAACUACGUGCCAGCAGCCGCGGUAAAACGUAGGACUCGAGCGUUAUCCGGAGUUACUGGGCGUAAAGCGCGGGCAGGCGGAGGUCUAAGUCUGACGUGAAAGCUCCCGGCUCAACCGGGAGAGGCCGUUGGAGACUGGGCGUCUGGAGGGCAGUAGAGGGGCGUGGAAUUCCGGGUGGAGUGGUGAAAUGCGUAGAGAUCCGGAGGAACACCAGAGGCGAAGGCGGCGCCCUGGGCUGCACCUGACGCUGAGCCGCGAAAGCCAGGGGAGCAAACGGGAUUAGAAACCCCGGUAGUCCUGGCUGUAAACGAUGCCAACUAGGUGUUGGGGGGUAGAGCCCGCAGCGCCGAAGCAAACGCGAUAAGUUGGCCGCCUGGGGAGUACGGUCGCAAGGCUAAAACUCAAAGGAAUUGACGGGGACCCGCACAAGCAGCGGAGCGUGUGGUUUAAUUCGAGGCAACGCGAAGAACCUUACCUGGGUUUGACAUGUUGGUAGUAGGGAACCGAAAGGGGACCGAUCUUCGGAAGCCAUCACAGGUGCUGCAUGGCUGUCGUCAGCUCGUGCCGUGAGGUGUUAGGUUAAGUCCUGUAACGAGCGCAACCCUUACUGCCAGUUACAAGUGUCUGGCGGGACUGCCGGUGAAAGCCGGAGGAAGGUGGGGAUGACGUCAAGUCAGCAUGGCCUUUAUAUCCAGGGCGACACACACGCUACAAUGGCCGGUACAAUGGGCAGCCAAACCGCGAGGUGGAGCGAAUCUCACAAAGCCGGUCGUAGUUCGAAUUGCAGGCUGCAACUCGCCUGCAUGAAGUCGGAGUUGCUAGUAACCGCGCAUCAGCCACGGUGCGGUGAAUACGUUCCCGGGUCUUGUACACACCGCCCGUCACGUCAUGGAAGCUGGCAACACCUGAAGUCGGUGAGCUAACCGCAAGGAGGCAACUGCCGAAGGUGGGGCUGGUGACUGGGACGAAGUCGUAACAAGGUA